This 404-nucleotide ribosomal RNA is filed under the name Fusobacteriota bacterium. Its description in RNAcentral is "Fusobacteria bacterium partial 16S ribosomal RNA". It matches the Rfam family "Bacterial small subunit ribosomal RNA", at positions 355 to 776 of the family's 1533-position model. The record is from RNAcentral. Lineage: Bacteria; Fusobacteriati; Fusobacteriota.
UGGGGAAUAUUGCACAAUGGAGGGAACUCUGAUGCAGCGACGCCGCGUGAGUGAUGAAGGACUUCGUUUCGUAAAACUCUGUUCUAUGGGAAGAAAAGGACUGUACCAUAGGAGAAAGCUCCGGCUAAAUACGUGCCAGCAGCCGCGGUAAUACGCAUGGAGCGAGCGUUGUCCGGAAUUAUUGGGCGUAAAGGGUGCGCAGGCGGCUUUACAAGUUGGAUGUGAAAUAUUGUGGCUCAACCACAAACGUGCAUCCAAAACUGCAAAGCUUGAGUUAAGGAGAGGUAAGUGGAAUUCCUGGUGUAGCGGUGGAAUGCGUAGAUAUCAGGAGGAAUACCGGUGGCGAAGGCGACUUACUGGACUUAAACUGACGCUCAGGAACGAAAGCGUGGGGAGCAAACAGG